AGAGUGAUUCUGGAACAAUAAUGGGGUCUGAGAGUGGGAUUUUGGGGUCACAAAGGGGGAUUUGGGGGUCAUAGAGGGGGCUGCAGGUCCUGGCAGGGCAAACCUUUGUGCCGCAUGUCACUGUUAUGGGAUUUGAGGCUCCAGAAGUGUGAUUUGGGGCUAUGAGAUGGGGUUUCUGGGGUCUGGGAGCGGGAUUUUGGGGUCAGAAAGGGGAAUUUUGGGGUCAUAGAGGGGGCUGCAGGUCCUGGUACGGCGGACCUUCACACUGCAUGUCACUGUUAUGGGAUUUGGGGCUCCAGGAGUGGGAUUUUGUGCUCCAGAAGUGGGAUUUGGGGCUAUGAGAUGGGGUUUUUGGGGUCUGGGAGCGGGAUUUUGGGGUCAGAAAGGGGAUUGGGGGCCACUUUGGGGCCGAGCCUCGCGCCUCAUGCCGCUGGCCAGGCACUUCUGGUAGCGGCAGUACUGGCAGCGGGUGGGUCUGAAUGGGAUUUUGGGGUCAGAAAGGGGGAUUUGGGGUCUGAGAGUGGGAUUGUGGAGCAAUAAUGGGGUCUGGGAGUGGGAUUUUGGGGUCAGAAAGGGGAAUUUUGGGUCAGAAAGGGGGCUGCAGGUCCUGGCAGGGCAAACCUUUGUGCCGCAUGUCACUGUUAUGGGAUUUGGUGCUCCAGGAGUGGGAUUUGGGGCUAUGAGAUGGGGUUUUCGGGGUCUGGGAGCGGGAUUUUGGGGUCAGAAAGGGGAUUGGGGGCCACUUUGGGGCCUACCCUCGCGCCUCAUGCCGCUGGCCAGGCACUUCUGGUAGCGGCAGUACUGGCAGCG
Molecule: long non-coding RNA, 810 nt
Filed under: Phasianus colchicus (ring-necked pheasant)
Lineage: Eukaryota; Metazoa; Chordata; Aves; Galliformes; Phasianidae
Description: lncRNA (ENSPCLG00000016986.1)
Source: RNAcentral